Molecule: ribosomal RNA, 824 nt
Filed under: uncultured organism
Description: bacterial SSU rRNA
Rfam family: Bacterial small subunit ribosomal RNA
Source: RNAcentral
UACUCGAGUGGCGAAAGGGCGAGGAAUACAUGGAUAACGUGCCUUUGGCAUGGGGACAGCUGAGGGAAACUUCAGGUAAUACCCAAUGAGACCACAGUGCUUUCGGGCACAGGGGUCAAAGAUGGGGCUCCUUCGGGACCUAUCGGCCAUAGAGCGGUCCAUGUCCUAUCAGCUUGUUGGUGAGGUAAUGGCUCACCAAGGCGACGACGGGUACCGGGACUGAGAGGUUGACCCGGCGCAUCGGGACUGAGACACUGCCCGGACUCCUACGGGAGGCUGCAGUAACGAAUAUUGGUCAAUGGGCGAAAGCCUGAACCAGCGACGCCGCGUGUGGGAGGAAGCCCUUCGGGGUGUAAACCACUGUCAGGGAUUACCAAGCAAUGGAGGCUAAUACCCUCCUGCGUUGAGGCGUCCCAGAGGAAGUCACGGCUAACUUCGUGCCAGCAGCCGCGGUAAUACGAAGGUGGCGAGCGUUGUUCGGAAUCACUGGGCUUAAAGAGCACGUAGGCGGACUGCCAAGCGUCUUGUGAAAUCCCCCGGCUCAACCGGGGAAUUGCUGGGCGAACUGGUAGUCUUGAGGCAAGUAGGGGCAGAUGGAACUCUUGGUGGAGCGGUGGAAUGCGUAGAUAUCAAGAGGAACGCCAGAGGCGAAGGCGAUCUGCUGGGCUUGACCUGACGCUGAGGUGCGAAAGCCAGGGGAGCAAACGGGAUUAGAUACCCCGGUAGUCCUGGCCAUAAACGAUGUCACUAGAUCGGUGAACUUCGACAGUGUGCCGUCGAACAAAGCGUAAGUGGACCGCCUGGGGAGUACGGUCGCAAGGCUA